RNAcentral lists this ribosomal RNA (279 nucleotides) under uncultured bacterium. Its description in RNAcentral is "partial 16S ribosomal RNA". It matches the Rfam family "Bacterial small subunit ribosomal RNA", at positions 506 to 784 of the family's 1533-position model. The record is from RNAcentral.
UGCCAGCCGCCGCGGUAAUACGUAGGGGGCCAGCGUUGUCCGGAUUCAUUGGGCGUAAAGAGCGUGUAGGCGGUUCAAUAGGUCCGAUGUGAAAACUCGAGGCUCAACCUCGAGAGGUCGUCGGAAACCAUUGAACUAGAGUCCGGAAGAGGAGAGUGGAAUUCCUGGUGUAGCGGUGAAAUGCGCAGAUAUCAGGAAGAACACCGAUGGCGAAGGCAGCUCUCUGAGACGGUACUGACGCUGAGAUGCGAAAGCGUGGGGAGCAAACAGGAUUAGAUA